UACGUAGGGGCUAGCGUUAUCCGGAUUUAUUGGGUUUAAAGGGUGCGCAGGCGGAAGAUUAAGUCGGCGGUGAAAUUUUGCAGCUCAACUGUAAAAGUGCCAUCGAUACUGGUUUUCUUGAGUGUGGAUGAAGUAGGCGGAAUUUGUGGUGUAGCGGUGAAAUGCAUAGAUAUCACGAGGAACUCCGAUUGCGCAGGCAGCUUACUAAACUACUACUGACGCUCAGGCACGAAGGCGUGGGGAUCAAACAGGAUUAGAUACCCU
Molecule: ribosomal RNA, 264 nt
Filed under: uncultured prokaryote
Description: partial 16S ribosomal RNA
Rfam family: Bacterial small subunit ribosomal RNA
Source: RNAcentral